This 253-nucleotide ribosomal RNA is filed under the name uncultured bacterium. RNAcentral's name for it is "partial 16S ribosomal RNA". It matches the Rfam family "Bacterial small subunit ribosomal RNA", at positions 524 to 776 of the family's 1533-position model. The record is from RNAcentral.
UACGAAGGGGGCUAGCGUUGCUCGGAAUCACUGGGCGUAAAGCGCACGUAGGCGGCUUACUAAGUCAGGGGUGAAAUCCUGGAGCUCAACUCCAGAACUGCCUUUGAUACUGGUGAGCUUGAGUCCGGAAGAGGUGAGUGGAAUUCCUGGUGUAGCGGUGAAAUGCGCAGAUAUCAGGAAGAACGCCAAUGGCGAAGGCAGCUCUCUGGGACGGUACUGACGCUGAGACGCGAAAGCGUGGGGAGCGAACAGG